RNAcentral lists this ribosomal RNA (253 nucleotides) under uncultured bacterium. Its description in RNAcentral is "partial 16S ribosomal RNA". It matches the Rfam family "Bacterial small subunit ribosomal RNA", at positions 524 to 776 of the family's 1533-position model. The record is from RNAcentral.
UACAGAGGUCUCAACCGUUGUUCGGAUUCACUGGGUUUAAAGGGUGCGUAGGCGGAUUGGUAAGUCCGUGGUGAAAUCUCUAAGCUUAACUUGGAAACUGCCAUGGAUACUAUUAGUCUUGAAUAUUGUGGAGGUUAGCGGAAUAUGUCAUGUAGCGGUGAAAUGCAUAAAUAUGACAUAGAACACCAAUUGCGAAGGCAGCUGGCUACACAAAUAUUGACGCUGAUGCACGAAAGCGUGGGGAUCAAACAGG